RNAcentral lists this transfer RNA (76 nucleotides) under Phascolarctobacterium sp. RNAcentral describes it as "tRNA-Thr". It matches the Rfam family "tRNA". From Rfam's summary of the family: Transfer RNA (tRNA) molecules are approximately 80 nucleotides in length. RNAcentral also lists the same sequence under 1 other name. Lineage: Bacteria; Bacillati; Bacillota; Negativicutes; Acidaminococcales; Acidaminococcaceae. The record is from RNAcentral.
GCUAACGUAGCUCAGUCGGUAGAGCAGCUGAUUCGUAAUCAGCAGGUCACAGGUUCGAUUCCUGCCGUUAGCUCCA